This 252-nucleotide ribosomal RNA is filed under the name uncultured bacterium. RNAcentral's name for it is "partial 16S ribosomal RNA". It matches the Rfam family "Bacterial small subunit ribosomal RNA", at positions 524 to 776 of the family's 1533-position model. The record is from RNAcentral.
UACGUAGGGGGCAAGCGUUGUCCGGAUUUACUGGGCGUAAAGAGCGCGUAGGCGGAAGCUUAAGCGGUACCUGAAAGCCCCCGGCUCAACCGGGGAAGGUGGCGCCGAACUGGGCUUCUUGAGGGCGAUAGAGGAAAGUGGAAUUCCGGGUGUAGCGGUGAAAUGCGUAGAUAUCAGGAGGAACACCGGCGGUGUAGACGGCUUCUGGACCGUAGCUGACGCUGAGACACGAAAGCGUGGGUAGCAAACAGG